Non-coding RNA from Trichobilharzia regenti, 49 nucleotides. The record is from Rfam. NCBI's taxonomy places the organism in Eukaryota, Metazoa, Platyhelminthes, Trematoda, Strigeidida, Schistosomatidae.
GUACUGCUGAACAGUCCCAAAAUAGGCUGACGAAACAGCUGUCCAGUAC